This 468-nucleotide ribosomal RNA is filed under the name uncultured bacterium. RNAcentral's name for it is "partial 16S ribosomal RNA". It matches the Rfam family "Bacterial small subunit ribosomal RNA", at positions 28 to 507 of the family's 1533-position model. The record is from RNAcentral.
GAUGAACGCUGGCGGCGUGCCUAACACAUGCAAGUCGAACGGACAGACGAUGCGCUUGUGCCUCGCACGAGUGGCGAAGGGGGGAGUGACACGCGUGUAAAACGUCCCUGUCUGUGGGGUAACACCUGGAAACUCGGGCUAAUACACCGGAUAAGCUCCUGCAGCACGGGGGUGAAUGGAAAAUUACGGCGGUGUGGGCUGGAAUCGCGGGUUAUCAGCUGGUUGGGGGGGUAGGGGAGGACAAAGGCUUUGACGGGUAGGCGGCCUGCGAGCGUGAACGGCCACCAUGGGCCUGCGGUACGGCCCAGUCGCCUACGGGCCGCAGCAGUGGAGAAUAUUGCGCAAUGGGCGGACGCCUGUUGCAGCGACGCCGCGUGCGUGAUGCUGGCCUUCGGGUUGUAAACCGCUUUGGCCGGUGCCGAAGCCUGAGUGACGGUAAUGGGUAAGGAAGCACCGGCUAACUACGUG